This 409-nucleotide ribosomal RNA is filed under the name bacterium. RNAcentral describes it as "partial 16S ribosomal RNA". It matches the Rfam family "Bacterial small subunit ribosomal RNA", at positions 355 to 776 of the family's 1533-position model. The record is from RNAcentral.
UGGGGAAUAUUGCACAAUGGGCGAAAGCCUGAUGCAGCGACGCCGCGUGAGGGAUGUCGGCCUUCGGGUUGUAAACCUCUUUCAGCAGGGACGAAGCGCAAGUGACGGUACCUGCAGAAGAAGCACCGGCUAACUACGUGCCAGCAGCCGCGGUAAUACGUAGGGUGCAAGCGUUGUCCGGAAUUACUGGGCGUAAAGAGUUCGUAGGCGGUUUGUCGCGUCGUUUGUGAAAACCAGCAGCUCAACUGCUGGCUUGCAGGCGAUACGGGCAGACUUGAGUACUGCAGGGGAGACUGGAAUUCCUGGUGUAGCGGUGAAAUGCGCAGAUAUCAGGAGGAACACCGGUGGCGAAGGCGGGUCUCUGGGCAGUAACUGACGCUGAGGAACGAAAGCGUGGGUAGCGAACAGG